RNAcentral lists this ribosomal RNA (279 nucleotides) under Segatella copri DSM 18205. RNAcentral describes it as "Prevotella copri DSM 18205 partial 16S ribosomal RNA". It matches the Rfam family "Bacterial small subunit ribosomal RNA", at positions 493 to 776 of the family's 1533-position model. The record is from RNAcentral. Lineage: Bacteria; Pseudomonadati; Bacteroidota; Bacteroidia; Bacteroidales; Prevotellaceae.
UAUGGUAAUUGUGUGCCACGCGGUAAUACGGAAGGUCCGGGUGUUAUCCGGAUUUAUUGGGUUUAAAGGGAGCGUAGGCCGGAGAUUAAGCGUGUUGUGAAAUGUAGAUGCUCAACAUCUGAACUGCAGCGCGAACUGGUUUCCUUGAGUACGCAUAAAGUGGGCGGAAUUCGUGGUGUAGCGGUGAAAUGCUUAGAUAUCACGAAGAACUCCGAUUGCGAAGGCAGCUCACUGGGGCGCAACUGACGCUGAAGCUCGAAAGCGCGGGUAUCGAACAGG